This is a long non-coding RNA of Lotus japonicus, 3138 nucleotides long. RefSeq lists it as uncharacterized. The record is from RefSeq and is a predicted model, not a curated record. NCBI's taxonomy places the organism in Eukaryota, Viridiplantae, Streptophyta, Magnoliopsida, Fabales, Fabaceae. The transcript is spliced from 4 exons.
GCAUAUCGUUACAGAGUUCUAGUAGAAAUGAAAUUGGACAAGUGAGCAAAAGAAUUGAUCAACCUUGUGAAGGGUCCAUCGCCAGCUAAAAGAUUAACGACCCAUGCAACAGAGUACACAGACACAUCUUCACACAUAUAUAUUCAUAUUAGGUUUUCUUUUUACGCUUCAACCCUAACCUACAACGUCUUCCUUCUCACUGCUUCUUCAAGGACAUGACGACUGACGAUGGCAGUGUCCUUCAAAAUUGAAGCUUUUAACCUUCCACCGUUGAUGAUGGCGCCAUCGUAGAGUAUGCUUCCCUUCUAGCCGUCCCUUUUCACUUUCAAUCCCAUUUACAUACAAAUAUUCUCCUCGAUCUAGUGUUGUGAGACAACUAACUUGCACACAUUCGACCCUCAGUCGUCCUUGACUUGUUGCUGCGCUCCUUGUCGGCCGGCGCUGACAGUUGUUACUCCUCAGCAGUUCUCUUUCAAGAGGAAAUUACCUUUAUUGUUGAGAAUACACUUUGCUUGUGAAUAUGUGAGAUCAAAAUCUGAAACUGCAGUGGUGAGAGGCUUAAGGUUUAGUUAACUGAAAAUGGAAGAAGUUACUCCAACUCCAAGUACCUUACUUGAAACUUGUAAUCAAAACCCUCCUAUGAAUGCAAAUCUGUCAACUUUUCCUUCUACAAUGGACUGUACUGUACCUACAAUAAAUGAAGGUGGAGGGGAAGGUGAAGAAAAUGAAAUUGAGGGACAGGGUACUAAGACUAGGAAGUCUAUUGUAUGGGAUCAUUUCACUAAGCUUCCUUUGGUUGAGACUAAAGGUGAACAUAAGGCCAAAUGCAAUCAUUGUUGUGCAAUAGAUAGUUGUCACCCAAACAAACAUGGAACCAAUUCUUUGAACAAACAUUUGCGUAGGUCUCACCAAUGGAUAUUAGUAAAGUUGGUAAUAAGGGGACACUUCAUGGGUAUAUGCCAAAAACUUCAGAAGAUGGUCUAGGUGGAACAAAUUCUGUUGGGUAUAACUUGGAGGAUUGUAGAAGGGUUUUGGCUGAGUUUGUGAUAUGUGAUGAGAUGUCAUUUAAGGUUGUAGAAGGGCGUGGUUUUCGCAAAAUGAUAAAUCGAUUAGAGCCUAGGUUUACUGUACCAUCUAGGGUCACAGUUGCAAGGGAUUGUUACCAACACUUUUUAGAUGAGAAGAAAAAGUUGAAGUCUUGGUUUAUUAAUUCAAGAAUUCGUGUUUGUAUGACAACUGAUUGUUGGACUUCAUGCCAGAAUUUUAUCUUAUAUGUGUUUAACUGCUCAUUUUAUUGAUGAAGAAUGGAGGCUACAAAAAAGAAUUCUAAACUUUGGUUUAGUUGCAAACCACAAAGGUGAUACCAUUGGAAGAGAGAUUGAGAAAUGUUUACGAGAGUGGGGAAUUGAAAAUGUGUUUUCAAUCAUAGUUGAUAAUGCAAGCUCUAAUGAUGGGGUGAUCACAUACCUUAAAAAAAACUAGAUGCUAGAGGUGGGCUAGUGUGUGGUGGUCAAUAUAUGCAUAUGAGGUGUUGUGCUCAUAUUCUUAAUUUGGUUGUGAAUGAAGGAAUGAAAGAGAAACAAUUAUCCAUUGACAACAUUAGGAAUGCAGUGCGGUAUGUUAGGUCUUCACCCUCAAGAUUUAAAGAAUGCAUUGAGGCUGAAAUGAUUAAGUCUGAAAGUCUUGUGUGCCUAGAUGUUUCAACUAGGUGGAAUUCCACUUACACUAUGAUGGAACAUGUUGUAAAGUUUGAAAAAGCUUUUGAUAGACUCUUGGAUCAAGAGUUAGAUUUUGUUAAAUGGUUUCGUGAUGAAAAGGGGAAAAAGGUUGGUCCACCUGCUGAUUUGGAUUAGCAUCAUGGUAGAAUAUUUGUUCAGUUUCUAAAAAUGUUUUAUGAAGCAAAUUUGUCUUUCCCUAGUUCAUUGUGUGUGACAUCAAACAAAUGCUUCCAUGGAAUAGCUGCAAUUCAAGCUGAGUUGACAGAAUGGAGUACUAAUCAUUCUGAACUCUUAGGGGUUAUGGCACAUUCAAUGAGAGAAAAAUUUAAUAAAUAUUGGGGAAGUGUUGAAAAUAUCAAUCCUUUGUUGUUUGUUGCUGUUGUUUUGGAUCCUCGAUGCAAACUUGAAUAUGUCACUUGGAGUUUAAAAGAAACAUAUGCUGAGGACCUAGCAACUAAGAUGAUAACUUUGGUUAAUGACACCUUAGAUGACUUGCACAAGUUUUAUUCAAAAGGAAUUUCUGAACAUGUGGAGUGUGAAGAUGGCAGGGAUUCUUCGAGGGGUACAACUUUGAAUGACAUGCCCAAAGGGUUAAUUGGAGGUUCUUUUGGGAACAGGGUGGGGGCUUGGAAAAAAUAGAAAAGGGCAAAACCAAAUUUAAAUAAAUCAGAUCUUGAGAGAUAUCUCAAUGAGGAUGCUAUAGAUGAUGAAAAUGUUGAUUUUAACAUAUUGGGUUGGUGGAAAGUGAAUUCAUCAAAAUACCCGGUCCUUUCUAUCAUGGCCUGUGAUGUAUUGGUUGUUCAGAUUUCUUCCGUGGCAUCCGAAUCAUGCUUUAGCAUAAGUGGGCAUAUUCUUGAUCUCUUAUGUAGCUCUUCGUCUCCCAGAAUGGUUGAAGCUCUUGUUUGUGCUCAGAAUUGGUUAAACUCCGGUGGUCUUGCUUUCGAGGAUAAGGAUUUUGAUCAAUUUGAUAACAUUGAGAAGAUUGUUGAUGAUUCUUGAGUCUCAAGGAGGAAGUGACAUGCAACAAGCUGUGAAUAUUGAUUGAUAGCCAACCAAAUCUGGAUUGAUUGCUUUUUUUUAAAGAAACUUGAAUAGUUAUCUCUUUUUUGUGCAGGAAUUAUAAAAGGCAUGUUGCAGUUUUGUUUUGUAUAUGGCUGCAUAUCUUUUAUAACACUUAGAUAUGUGAGAAUUAGUUAGGGGAAUUUGAUAUGUUGCAGUUAUGUUUUGUAUAUGGCUGCAAAUUAGGAAAUCGCCUACAAUUGCACUUUUGUUAAUUUGAUGUUGUAGGCCGGUAGCUUCCAGUGGAAAUGCUUAUGUUUUGGUAUAUGUGUGUGAGUUUGAAUGUGCUCAAUGUAAUGUUACAUUUCUAUUCUGAAUAUUACAUUUGACAGUAAUGAAGUAUUUACUUUGUAAUUGUUAA